UACAGAGGAUGCAAGCGUUAUCCGGAAUGAUUGGGCGUAAAGCGUCUGUAGGUGGCUUUUUAAGUCCGCCGUCAAAUCCCAGGGCUCAACUCUGGACAGGCGGUGGAAACUACCAAGCUGGAGUACGGUAGGGGCAGAGGGAAUUUCCGGUGGAGCGGUGAAAUGCGUAGAUAUCGGAAGGAACACCUGUGGCGAAAGCGGCUCACUGGACCAUUACUGACGCUGAUGUACGAAAGCUAGGGGAGCAAACAGG
Molecule: ribosomal RNA, 253 nt
Filed under: uncultured bacterium
Lineage: Bacteria
Description: partial 16S ribosomal RNA
Rfam family: Bacterial small subunit ribosomal RNA
Source: RNAcentral